UCCGUCUUGACGACGGCAGUCUCGCGCGACACAUGUAACGCACGACGAGGGUUGCGCUCGUUCCCGGACUUAACCGAACAGUUCACACCACGAGCUGACGACAACCAUGCAGCACCUGUUCCACGGGCUCCCGAGAGGGCACUUCCACAUUUCUGCAGAAUUCCCGUGGCUUUCAAGACCUGGAUAAGGUUUUUCGUUUGUCGUCGAAUUGAACCUCAUGUUCCACCGCUUGUGCGGGUCCCCGUCUAUUCCUUUGAGUUUUAGCCUUGCGGCCGUACUUCCCAGGCGGCGCACUUACCGCGUUAGCUCCGACACGGAACCGUCAGUGGGUCCCAUGCCUCGUGCGCAUCGUUUACGGCGUGGACUAC
RNAcentral lists this unclassified non-coding RNA (368 nucleotides) under uncultured bacterium. RNAcentral describes it as "contains 16S-23S intergenic spacer region". The record is from RNAcentral.